GUCUCGGAUAGCUUAACUGGUAGAGUCCUUGGCGCGUAACCGAGAGAUCUGAGUUCGAUUCCCAGUCUGGGCU
Molecule: transfer RNA, 73 nt
Filed under: Cotesia glomerata
Lineage: Eukaryota; Metazoa; Arthropoda; Insecta; Hymenoptera; Braconidae
Description: tRNA-Thr
Rfam family: tRNA
About the family: Transfer RNA (tRNA) molecules are approximately 80 nucleotides in length. Their secondary structure includes four short double-helical elements and three loops (D, anti-codon, and T loops). Further hydrogen bonds mediate the characteristic L-shaped molecular structure. tRNAs have two regions of fundamental functional importance: the anti-codon, which is responsible for specific mRNA codon recognition, and the 3' end, to which the tRNAs corresponding amino acid is attached (by aminoacyl-tRNA synthetases). tRNAs cope with the degeneracy of the genetic code in two manners: having more than one tRNA (with a specific anti-codon) for a particular amino acid; and 'wobble' base-pairing, i.e. permitting non-standard base-pairing at the 3rd anti-codon position.
Source: RNAcentral